CUACGGGUGGCUGCAGUGGGGAAUAUUGCACAAUGGGCGCAAGCCUGAUGCAGCCAUGCCGCGUGUAUGAAGAAGGCCUUCGGGUUGUAAAGUACUUUCAGUCGUGAGGAAGGUUCAUACGUUAAUAGCGUAUGGAUUUGACGUUAGCGACAGAAGAAGCACCGGCUAACUCCGUGCCAGCAGCCGCGGUAAUACGGAGGGUGCGAGCGUUAAUCGGAAUUACUGGGCGUAAAGCGCAUGCAGGUGGUUAGUUAAGUCAGAUGUGAAAGCCCGGGGCUCAACCUCGGAAUUGCAUUUGAAACUGGCUGACUAGAGUACUGUAGAGGGGGGUAGAAUUUCAGGUGUAGCGGUGAAAUGCGUAGAGAUCUGAAGGAAUACCGGUGGCGAAGGCGGCCCCCUGGACAGAUACUGACACUCAGAUGCGAAAGCGUGGGGAGCAAACAGGAUUAGAUACCCGCGUAGUC
RNAcentral lists this ribosomal RNA (464 nucleotides) under uncultured bacterium. RNAcentral's name for it is "partial 16S ribosomal RNA". It matches the Rfam family "Bacterial small subunit ribosomal RNA", at positions 339 to 795 of the family's 1533-position model. The record is from RNAcentral.